UGCCUGGUGGACUAGUGGCUUGCACACGGCGCUCUCAUUGCUGCGGUCCAGGUUCGAUUCUUGGUCAGGGAU
Molecule: non-coding RNA, 72 nt
Organism: Pangasianodon gigas (Mekong giant catfish)
Lineage: Eukaryota; Metazoa; Chordata; Actinopteri; Siluriformes; Pangasiidae
Source: the annotation of a GenBank genome assembly